Molecule: long non-coding RNA, 1151 nt
Filed under: Mus musculus (house mouse)
Lineage: Eukaryota; Metazoa; Chordata; Mammalia; Rodentia; Muridae
Description: predicted gene 12610
Source: RNAcentral
GCCAUUUGCCUGUUUGGAUUUUGAACCAACACUUAAGCUCCAAGAAAUUUAAAGUAACAGAAACAGGGAUUCUCUGUAUAGCCCUGCUGUCCUGGAACUCAUGCUGCAGAUGAGGCUGACCCUUGAAGUGAGAGAGCUGCUUGCCCCUGCCUUCUUACUGCUGAGAUUAAAGCUCUCUCUUCCACGUUUCCACCGUAGCUCACCAAGCUUUGAGCAGUCGACAGCUUCUCCAGCCUGAAAUUCCAAAGUCCUUUCAAAGUCUUCCCCAAAGCAACACGGUCAGGUUUGUCACAGCAAUGUCUCAUAAACCUGGUACCAAUCUCAAUUGUGAUUGUUAGUUUUUGUCAACUUGACAGAAACCUAGACAAAUCUGAGGAAUCGCCUCCAUCAGAUUGGCCUGUAGGCAAGCCUAUGAGGGAAUUUUCAUGAUUUAUUUUGGAGGGCCUAGCUCACUGGGAAGAAAGUCCUGGGUUGUAUAGGAAAGCAGGCUGAGCAGGUCAUGGGGAGCAGGCCAGUAAGUAGCACUCCUUCAAGGGCCUUGUUUCAGUUUCUGCUUUCAGAUUCCUACCUGGCGUUUCUGCCCCGAUUUCGCUUCAUGAAGGUACUACAUGAUUAUAUGUUAGGACUUUAUUGGGAUCAAGAUAUUCUGGAACAAAGAUUUGCAAGAUCUGGGACAUCAUGGACAAGCUGUGCCUGAAGAUGGAAGGCAAGAUGGUCUGUGUAUCAUUUUUGAGAUAAACUCAGUGUAAACUAUAAGGCAAAGACAUGUUCGAAUUUAAUCUACAUAUAACACCCAGCAUGGAGAGAAUCAGAAACCAAGAGCAUGGUGUACUCAGUCUAACCCACAGGUUAUGGGCCAGAGCUUCAUAAUGAAAUAGUGAAAUGAGAAUGUAUGUUUUUUAUCAAGGAGUUCAUUGUCCUUUCUGGAGGCAGGGCUGACACAGCGACCUCCUCAUGUGGAAUCACCCGGAACCAUUUCUGUUCCAGCUCUUCUGUUUUUUGGCAAGUGCAUGUGAGUUUCUGGAUGACUUAUACUGAUUUUAGAUCAAGCAUGAGACUCAGAAUAGUUACUGGGUGACAUAAAAUGACAGAAACACCUUUGUACUGAGCGGAACUUCUGUGUUGGUGAAAUGAUAAAUAUAAAUGCAAAC